UUGACUGAUUGCCUUCUGCUAGUGUUAUUAGUAGUUUUGCAUAUCUGCAGUGCUUGCGUUAUCAUGUCUUGAGUAUUUUUUUUGUCUAGUGUAUUUUGUAUUCGUGUGCAAUUAGCUGUAACGUGGUCAUAGCAUCUUUAAUUGGUUUUGUUCCGUGUGUAUUUGAUAACAAUGACCAAAGACAUUGUAACUACACAUUCAGCUUAAAAUUUCGUGAAUUUCGCUCAUUGUAAGUAAAUUCCAAUAUCCAAAGACAUUAAUGACAGAUAGAUGACAGUUUUUGAAAACACUUGGACAUCCUGUAGUAAAUAUUUUCACGGAUGAAGCAGACAAAGGAAAUGAAAUAACCGAUAAUUAAGACGUAAAAAGCUCCCGAAAAGUUGCUUAAUGAAAUUUGUCUAGUAUUCCCGGACACUGCCCUUUUGUGCUGCCUCCUACGAGCUUCAUCCAGGCAUUUGAAAUUCAGCACCCUUUGGCAAAGAUUCUGGUGUAUGGACUCCUUUUCGGCAAAGCCCAAGCCAAUGUUCCAGAAUUGCUGUUGCGUCGUUACAUUGAAAUGGGCAUAAGAUCCAGAUUUGACAAGGUCAACGCACUCUUGAAGCGUCACACAAUUGGAUUUCGUCUGGGAUCGCAUUUUAUCGCCAAGCUGUUUGUAGAGUCCCGGUUUGUUAUCACUCUGAUAGGACAAUAAUUUUUAAAAAUGUGACCACAUUUGUGAUUUUAUUUGAAUUCCAUUGUACCAAGAGAGCGAGUUCGAUACCACGUCCUUUUUCAACGACAAGCUGGACGUUGGGAUUCUUGACCAGUUCUGCAAGGGAAUCUACCAAAGGUUCGCUGUUGGAUCCCAGGAUGUAAGAAAUCAAGAGGCUGUUAUAAGCACAGCCAAUUACCAAAGCCCCCAGACACCAAGAUCCAACAACAAAGUAAACCGCAUUUCGCAUCCGUGGAAAGUAUACCCCUGUGACAAUUGCAUCAUUGGUAAGUUUAACUGUUUUUCGUUUCAAUAUGCUCACCUUGAAACAGUAAAAUCUGUACAAGCUGAAAAAAGGCUUGACGUGCACCAAAUAGAAAUUGACUAAUCUUUCCGCAAUAUUUUCCAUUCAACGAUGCUUUAGAAGUCACUGGACGAAUUGAAAAGUAAACUACUACAGCGGUAAUAGGCGUCACGGUCAACAAUCCGAUCCAAACCUAUUUCCAAUAUGUCACCUCUGUUAUUAAUUUCCCAGAAAACUAGUUUGAUUGAAACGAGUCAAAUCAUUUACAGCGAGAUUAAAAGGUUGAAGGAUAGCGCAAGAAUUGUCUGAUAAUUCGGGCAUCGGGAUUAGUAGAGCUGCGUCCGUGUACGCGUAUCCUUCGGCGAGAUCCAUAGCUGCGAAACGCCUAGACGUCAUCAGAAGAGCUCCGAUGACCAAGUCACAUUUCUGGAACGCAUUAUAAGUAUGCAAGACCUGGGAGAACAUUGCUUUGUUUUUCUAACCGAGUGUCGUUGACUUGAAGAAACGAGUACCUGCAAUUCCCGUUACGUAAUAUGUGUAUGUAAAAGCUUGAAAUCUGUCAUUACGUGAAAUUUAAACGAAGAGAUAGUGCAGCCAAAGUCCAAGCAGCUACGCCAUCAACUUUGAUAAUAUGACCGGAUAUGUUUCUCUUCACAUAAAGAUGGGUUUCGAUUUCCUUGAGAAAAUUACAUUUUAAAAUUUUAGCUAAAAAUAAAUUAUGCAUUUUCAUAUUUAGAUGAUAGAAGCCAACACAAACCUGGACUCCAACGAUGAGGUGUUUUCCGCUCAGAUAAGUAGCGUCGCUUGAAACGCAUCUUACCAAUCCAAGUAGAAGCAACAGCCAGUGUUCUGUCAUCUAGCUAGAUAAUUAUUUUCAAAACUUGCGACAUACAAGUUGAAUAGUUUUGAAGAUGUGUCGGUCAUCGGGGGAAAAAUCAUUCUUUUUAUCAGCUGGAAUCUUGCAGCAACCCGCUAGAGUUGUCAGGGAAACCCUGAAAUAAAAACACACAAACAAAUUAUUGGGGAAUAAAUAUAUUCAAAAGUUAAAAAAAAGGACAUAUUGUCUACCGACAAGUAAACGGCGUAUACCUUGUCGUAAAUUUUUAAAAUCCAAUUGUUAAGCAUACGUUAAAAAAAUAUCAUGUACGUACAUUUAGUUUUUCAAUAUUUGCUAUUGAAAUUUAUACUCUUCUACAAUCUACAAUUUUUCGAGCGAAAAGAGAUUUUUUUAUUAUGCAGAGCUAAUAUGUAAUUGGAGGGAAUUCAAUCAACACAAAAAAAAAUCAUUAAACAUUUUUGUGCAGCAUAUCGAGCUUUGUAAAUUGGCAAUGGGAAUUUUGGCAUCACUGCUUCCAUUCCCACGGAAGUUCGGUUGACAGUGUUGUAGUUCUGCAGGCCAGGCGUGACGUGGGUCGGUUUUCCAUUUUCAACUUGAUCUCGGUCGUCUGGACGAACCCUACCGACUCUCAUGGGUACGACAUUUAGACGGUAGGGUUCGUCCAGACGACCAUAGGCACGGUAGCGCUCGUGGUGGCAGAGGGCUACAACACACUGUCCUACAACAUACUGUCAAUAUAAACAAAGCAGUUCAAAAGUGUCAAUUCAGGUUUAUUGCAGGUUUAGUGCCGUUUCUCACAGUCACAGUAUGUCAGGUAGAGAUUUGAUGAAAGAUUCUCUGACCAGGCAUCGAGCCAGAACCAAAGCCGAUAAAAGAAAAACUGAUGCUUUAUAACAGGAACCUAAACGUUCAGGUAACUUCUUGACCGUAAUUUUGGCAGAGGCAGAGGCCGAGUUACCCAGUCUGAUGAAGUUGUAGCAGUUUCUAAUCAAGAAACUGCUAGUGAAAUAACUCCCAGUCUAAUGAAAGAAGUGGUGUACAGGAUAUCAUUCAUUCAGUCGAACUGGAAAAGACAUCAUUGAAGCAAGCAUUUCACAAUUUAACAAGUAGAAAAAGGAAGCAAUCAAGAAAGCGAGUGGAAAACUCGCAUGAAAGACAAAGAAGAUGCUUGGGAUGCCAAGAGAGAUGCUGUCUUUCAAAACUACAUUAGCUCCCGUUCCUACAGUGCAAGUAAAUGUGGUGUAUGUGAAAAAGGCACUAAUCCUGUACAUCACUGUUGAAGUGUCCCUUCCUGUCCAGAAUGCAAAAGCCCUCAUUCGUGUACUACGAAACCUGGUUCAAGAGACGUAACCGUAGUUACAGCCAAUGGUAAAUGAGGGCAACUUCACGGAGGACAACCGAUUACCAGGAUUACAUCGACGAAGACACAGCCAAUUAUCAAGACUACGCUGAUGAAGAAAAUGAAGAAAAAAACUGUUAUCCAUCGUUUAAAACGCUCACAUAUAUUGUCAUGCAAAUCUUGUAAUCACAUUUGAAAUACAGCUAUUGUUUGAAGGGAAUAAAAGUAUAAUAAUGA
Molecule: long non-coding RNA, 3409 nt
Organism: Daphnia pulex (common water flea)
Lineage: Eukaryota; Metazoa; Arthropoda; Branchiopoda; Diplostraca; Daphniidae
Exons: 7
Source: RefSeq, a predicted model, not a curated record